UGCUGCUGCACUGCACUUGGACUUUUUUUACAAGAGUGAAGAAUUAUAAAAAAGUCCAAGUGCAGUGCAGCAGCA
RNAcentral lists this microRNA precursor (75 nucleotides) under Phlebotomus papatasi. RNAcentral's name for it is "microRNA mir-33". The record is from RNAcentral. Lineage: Eukaryota; Metazoa; Arthropoda; Insecta; Diptera; Psychodidae.